UGCCGCCACCUUCUCCCCGCUGGGGAGAAGGGGAUGCCGCGCCGUCUCGUUUUCCCCUUCUCCCCCCGGGGAGAAGGUGCCCGAA
This 85-nucleotide microRNA precursor is filed under the name Rhizobium sp. BK529. RNAcentral's name for it is "microRNA MIR1846". The record is from RNAcentral. Lineage: Bacteria; Pseudomonadati; Pseudomonadota; Alphaproteobacteria; Hyphomicrobiales; Rhizobiaceae.